AGUGAACGCUGGCGGUAGGCCUAACACAUGCAAGUCGAACGGCAGCACAGUAGGAGCUUGCUCUUACGGGUGGCGAGUGGCGGACGGGUGAGGAAUACAUCGGAAUCUACUUUUUGGUGGGGGAUAACGUAGGGAAACUUACGCUAAUACCGCAUACGACCUACGGGUGAAAGCAGGGGAUCUUCGGACCUUGCGCGAUUGAAUGAGCCGAUGUCGGAUUAGCUAGUUGGCGGGGUAAAGGCCCACCAAGGCGACGAUCCGUAGCUGGUCUGAGAGGAUGAUCAGCCACACUGGAACUGAGACACGGUCCAGACUCCUACGGGAGGCAGCAGUGGGGAAUAUUGGACAAUGGGCGCAAGCCUGAUCCAGCCAUACCGCGUGGGUGAAGAAGGCCUUCGGGUUGUAAAGCCCUUUUGUUGGGAAAGAAAAGCAGCAGGUUAAUACCCCGCUGUUCUGACGGUACCCAAAGAAUAAGCACCGGCUAACUUCGUG
This 492-nucleotide ribosomal RNA is filed under the name uncultured bacterium. RNAcentral describes it as "partial 16S ribosomal RNA". It matches the Rfam family "Bacterial small subunit ribosomal RNA", at positions 29 to 507 of the family's 1533-position model. The record is from RNAcentral.